RNAcentral lists this ribosomal RNA (445 nucleotides) under uncultured bacterium. Its description in RNAcentral is "bacterial SSU rRNA". It matches the Rfam family "Bacterial small subunit ribosomal RNA", at positions 32 to 506 of the family's 1533-position model. The record is from RNAcentral.
AUCAACGCUGGCGGCGCGCUUAACACAUGCAAGUCGCACGAGAAAGUGGAGCAAUCCAUGAGUACAGUGGCGUACGGGUGAGUAACACGUGGAUCAUCUACCUCGUAGUGGGGAAUACCCCCGGGAAACUGGGGAUAAUACCGCAUAAUCCUGUGAAGGGAAAGCCGAAAGGCGCUGUGAGAGGAGUCCGCGGCCGAUUAGCUAGUUGGUGAGGUAAUGGCCCACCAAGGCGAAGAUCGGUAGCCGGCCUGAGAGGGCACACGGCCACACUGGCACUGAAACACGGGCCAGACUCCUACGGGAGGCAGCAGUGGGGAAUCUUGCACAAUGGAGGAAACUCUGAUGCAGCGACGCCGCGUGAGCGAUGAAGCCCUUCGGGGUGUAAAGCUCUUUCGACGGGAACGAUAAUGACGGUACCCGAAGAAGAAGCUGCGGCUAACUACGU